GACGAACGUUGGCGGCGUGCUUAAUACAUGCAAGUCCACUGAAGCAGUGGUAGCAAUAUCGCUGUGGAGGUGGCGCACGGGUGAGUAACACGUAGGUAAUCUGCCUUCAGGUCUGGCAUAACUCCGGGAAACCGGGGCUAAUAGCAGAUGAUGCAGCGGCUCGACAUCGAGACAGUUGUUAAAGCUAUGGCGCCUGAAGAUGAGCCUGCGUCUGAUUAGCUAGUUGGCGGGGUAACGGCCCACCAAGGCAACGAUCAGUAGCUGGUCUGAGAGGAUGAUCAGCCACACUGGAACUGAGACACGGUCCAGACUCCUACGGGAGGCAGCAGUAAGGAAUAUUGCUCAAUGGGAGAAAUCCUGAAGCAGCAACGCCGCGUGAGGGACGAAGGGCUUUUGCUUGUAAACCUCUGUAGUGAGAGAAAAAAAUCCCAAUCUUUGGGACAUGAUGGUAUCUCAAAAGUAAGCCCCGGCUAACUACGU
RNAcentral lists this ribosomal RNA (480 nucleotides) under uncultured bacterium. RNAcentral's name for it is "partial 16S ribosomal RNA". It matches the Rfam family "Bacterial small subunit ribosomal RNA", at positions 28 to 506 of the family's 1533-position model. The record is from RNAcentral.